RNAcentral lists this ribosomal RNA (759 nucleotides) under uncultured bacterium. Its description in RNAcentral is "bacterial SSU rRNA". It matches the Rfam family "Bacterial small subunit ribosomal RNA", at positions 28 to 776 of the family's 1533-position model. The record is from RNAcentral.
GAUGAACGCUAGCUACAGGUCUUAACACAUGCAAGUCGAGGGGCAGCAUGAACUUAGCUUGCUGAGUUUGAUGGCGACCGGCGCACGGGUGAGUAACACGUAUCCAACCUGCCGAUGACUCGGGGAUAGCCUUUCGAAAGAAAGAUUAAUACCCGAUGGCAUAGUUCUUCCGCAUGGUAGAACUAUUAAAGAAUUUCGGUCAUCGAUGGGGAUGCGUUCCAUUAGGUUGUUGGCGGGGUAACGGCCCACCAAGCCUUCGAUGGAUAGGGGUUCUGAGAGGAAGGUCCCCCACAUUGGAACUGAGACACGGUCCAAACUCCUACGGGAGGCAGCAGUGAGGAAUAUUGGUCAAUGGACGAGAGUCUGAACCAGCCAAGUAGCGUGAAGGAUGACUGCCCUAUGGGUUGUAAACUUCUUUUAUACGGGAAUAAAGUGAGGCACGUGUGCCUUUUUGUAUGUACCGUAUGAAUAAGGAUCGGCUAACUCCGUGCCAGCAGCCGCGGUAAUACGGAGGAUCCGAGCGUUAUCCGGAUUUAUUGGGUUUAAAGGGAGCGUAGGCGGACGCUUAAGUCAGUUGUGAAAGUUUGCGGCUCAACCGUAAAAUUGCAGUUGAUACUGGGUGUCUUGAGUACAGUAGAGGCAGGCGGAAUUCGUGGUGUAGCGGUGAAAUGCUUAGAUAUCACGAAGAAUUCCGAUUGCGAAGGCAGCCUGCUGGACUGUAACUGACGCUGAUGCUCGAAAGUGUGNGUAUCAAACAGG